This 481-nucleotide ribosomal RNA is filed under the name uncultured bacterium. Its description in RNAcentral is "partial 16S ribosomal RNA". It matches the Rfam family "Bacterial small subunit ribosomal RNA", at positions 28 to 507 of the family's 1533-position model. The record is from RNAcentral.
GAUGAACGCUGGCGGCGUGCUUAACACAUGCAAGUCGAACGAAGCAUUUAGGACAGAUUUCUUCGGUUUGAGGAUCUUUAUGACUGAGUGGCGUACGCUUGAGUAACGCGUGGGUAACCUGCCUUGUACUGGGGGAUAGCAGCUGGAAACGGCUGGUAAUACCGCAUAAGCGCACAAUGUUGCAUGACAUGGUGUGAAAAACUCCGGUGGUAUAAGAUGGACCCGCGUCUGAUUAGCUAGUUGGUGAGAUAACAGCCCACCAAGGCGACGAUCAGUAGCCGACCUGAGAGGGUGACCGGCGACAUUGGGACUGAGACACGGCCCAGACUCCUACGGGAGGCAGCAGUGGGGAAUAUUGCACAAUGGAGGAAACGCUGAUGCAGCGACGCCGCGUGAGUGAAGAAGUAAUUCGUUAUGUAAAGCUCUAUCAGCAGGGAAGAUAGUGACGGUACCUGACGAAGAAGCACCGGCUAAAUACGUG